GCUCGUUUAAUUUUCAUAAAAUUUUGUCAAAGUACAACUUUAACAAAAAUAUAAAAAUUUGAAAAAUUUUGAACCAACCGUUUUGUCAUAAAAAAUACACUGGUUAUAUAGCAAUUUGACAAACACCAAUUUUGAUCAUUGAGAAGCUUAAUAUUCCUUUUCCAACACAAUGUAAUUAAAACGUUUAGCUGACUUUACAGAGUUAUCUCCCUGUAGUGUUAG
Molecule: long non-coding RNA, 222 nt
Filed under: Mytilus galloprovincialis (Mediterranean mussel)
Lineage: Eukaryota; Metazoa; Mollusca; Bivalvia; Mytilida; Mytilidae
Source: RNAcentral